GGGCUAGGAAAAGAAUGAAGACAAAUGGACACCUCGAGGGAGCGUCACAGCAGCAAAGUCAUCUGCCGGGACCCAGCUAAUGAAAAGAGGGGUUCUCUCUUCCUGCAAGGAGUUCCUGAUGAGGGUAUGCUUGGGCUAGGCUCAAGCUUGUCAGGGACACAUUUUAUCGCAGGCGCCUAGAAUCAAGGGGAAAGACAAUCCCACCGCAUCAAAGAGCUCACAGAGGGGCUGUGUGCCGGGCCAAGGUCAUGCUUUCAGCCUUGCCAGGGCAGCCAGCAGAGCAGCCCCCUAGCCUCCCAGCGCGAGAGUUUGACAUCCAGUGACAGAGCCCCAGUCUACUGGGAUGCUGGCAGGAUGCUGGCUCUCGGCCUGUGGAGAAGCACCCCGGGAGCGUCCCAUCACCCUGCCUCGUGGCUGGAAGGCUGUCCUCUUCCCGAGGUCUGCAACGGAACGGGACUGUGUAUCCUCAGUCAGUCUGUUUCCCCAGGGAGCGCCAGCACCCAUCCUCCUGGGCCCUUGCCACUCACCCAGGGCACUUCAAGGAAGCAGAGCACCUACAGCCUUGGCCAGGCCUCCCUGAUCAAUUCUUAGAAGGACCAGGGAUUUAGAGAGCAGCAGGGAGGAGCUGAAUCUAUACCUAGGAAAUGCAGCAAGGUUCAGAGGCUUCCCUGCCCGCGGAUGUACAAGAUCUGCCAGAGGGGCUGCCAUUCCUCUGCAUCUACCUAUGACUUGGGGUUUUCCAGGAAUGCAAGACUUUUAACACUAAAAUCAAGAAAGUCUCAGGGAGAAUGGAGGAGAUAUAAGGAUGAGAGACAGAAGCUCCCAUUGCCAAUCGGGUAGGAGUUUCAGAUCUCCUGAAAAGGUCUGAGAGUACUGUGAAUGGAUUGUGGACACACUGUCCCCUGCCCAGGAAGCUUGGGGAGCAUGAAACCACACCACUGCUGCCCUAAAGCCUGCCCCUGCCUUCUGCAGUCCCCCACCGCAGCUCACCCUGGCUGCUGCUAGCUGUGUUCUCUCCGGCUCUGACCUGUUCUUAUUCUUCCUUGUUCUCAAGGCAAAUCCAAGGACAUUCUGAGUCCUUCUAAAGUCUGCUUCUUUUCUGACCCACAGCACACUCAUCUAGUUGAUGAACUCUGCUCCAAUUCUCAAAUCUUCCUACCUCUACAUCUUCCUAAUACACACAGGGCCAUAUAUACACGAUACACUUACACAAAACACACUUCCAUACCACACCAACUAUCAUGCAUAAUGGAGAACACACGCUACAGCCCAUACACCAUCUCUUCCACAUCCCUCUCACUGGGACUCUUUCUUUCUCUCUCUCUCUCUCUCUCUCUCUCUCUCUCUCUCUCUCUCUCUCUCUCUCUCUCUCUCUCUCUCUCUGAGUCCAUGCCUCAGCUACUUGUCCUCUUUACUUUACUCUUCUUACACAUGUGACCCUCAGUUCUUCACCUUGGGCUUACAAUGCAGCAAUGGCAGCCUCUCUGAUGUCAGAGGAUUAUGUUCCUUGGUCCUUGGGACCCAGUGCAGAGUCUGACCACUGUUCUCCCUGGGAAUGGGUAAGUGGAGGAGGGAAUGAACAGUGAGUGAGUGAACAGUUAUGAAAGGGAUGUAGAAAGUUGGCUCAUGACAUGACACAGGCUCUGAUUUGCCUGGGCAUGGUGGUCGCCGUGGAAGCCCCACCUAUCAGCCUCACACCAGAUGGCCCUGCUAUUCUCACUCAGGCCCAGGAGUCAUACAGGAAAGGGAGCUUCUCACCUUGCUGGGAGGAUCCGAUUAGAGGCAGCUUUACUGAGGCAAGCCUCUUAGGCCUGAGCCACCUGUCUCCUCUGAGCUGUCUGCUCGCUGUGGAGAUGAACCCUGCUCCAGGAUGGGGCAUUUUCUGGUCCUUUCUAAGCCUAGCACUUUGCAGGAGCCCUGCCCAUCUGCUUGCUCCUAAGUAGACCCUUCCUGACAUUUCUAUUUUACACAAAAUUGAACUGUCAAGGUUACAGAGAAACCUGGGCAAAACUAGGCUCUGUGUCCUGGUGUGUGGGACCCAAACACCUAACUACUGUCACUUUCUUCCUGUCAGAUUAUUCUGUGAUGAAGUAGCCAGCAUGUUUUCCAAGACACUUUCCUUUUAUAUUUCCUUUUGUAUUUCAGGCCACAUUACUCUCUCAGACAAGGAUGUUCCACGCAUAGUGUGUGACAAUUUGUUGUUUAUUAUUUUUGGUGCUUUCCUGGUGAUGGGCACUAGGAAUGUACAGGAGUUGGUUCAGAAACCACUGGUUAGAUGCUAGAAAUUUGGGCUAUCUGUGGGUGCCUGAGUUGCUAUAGUCCUGGCUGAUCACACUGAGGUCCUGCUGCUGGGCAUUCUGACCAGCAUGGAAAUCUCUGGAGUUGUAGUUUCCACAGGAGGAAUCUUUGACUUUCACUCUGCAGGAGCCAUGAAGACAUGUGGGCUGGGCCCGGAUCAUAGAGACUUUGAAGGUUGGUGGUAAAGUUGGAACCAGGACUUGGAAUUCUGGAAUGUUCCUGGAUGUCUGGAAUGAAGACUCCCAGUGUGACAGUUCACUCUUGCCAUGAAAGUUGGCAGGGACCAACUCAAGGCCUCUGGUGUCUCCACAGCUGGGCAUGAAGGUCUCAUCUGGGUGGAGCCAGGCUUCAGGAGCUCUACACCUGUGGGAGAGCACCAGGGUCUGUCCUGGGAGAUGCUGGAUGGAAGCAGCAAGUGUGGGCAAACAGGUUCUCUGGGUUAGUAUUGGGUAAUCAGCAGCAGUGAAGAGUCAGGAGAAAAAGAGAAGCUGGAGGAAAGAGACAUGUGUGUGCACGUGCACGCACACACACACACACACACACACACACACACGGGUGCAUAUACAAAUGCUAUGUGUAUAACUCCUAUGUGCCAUGUAAUUCCAUCCACAAAUAUGCACAGUACACAUGGGCUCUGCGGUGGGUGCUGCUGUCCUGGAAGCGCAGCCUCUUCCGUUGUGAUGGUGAGAUAGGUUUAAAGGGUGCCAUGGGCUUGACCUGAUGCCGUGUGCUCUGUGGACAUAACCCCUCGACUUCUCAAUAGUAGCAAGCUGGCUCCUGCAGCCACACACUUUCUACAGAGGAGGACAUUGCUCAGGAGCACAAAGCCAGCAGGCUGUGGAGCUGAGAGCCCCUCCCUGAAGGCCCUGUCCUUCCAGGAGGUUUCGUGCUCACAUUCUACAGAAAACUCCCCUUUCU
Molecule: long non-coding RNA, 3216 nt
Organism: Mesocricetus auratus (golden hamster)
Lineage: Eukaryota; Metazoa; Chordata; Mammalia; Rodentia; Cricetidae
Exons: 5
Source: RefSeq, a predicted model, not a curated record